Molecule: ribosomal RNA, 497 nt
Filed under: uncultured bacterium
Lineage: Bacteria
Description: partial 16S ribosomal RNA
Rfam family: Bacterial small subunit ribosomal RNA
Source: RNAcentral
GAUGAACGCUGGCGGCGUGCCUAAUACAUGCAAGUCGAGCGAACAGACGAGGAGCUUGCUCCUCUGACGUUAGCGGCGGACGGGUGAGUAACACGUGGAUAACCUACCUAUAAGACUGGGAUAACUUCGGGAAACCGGAGCUAAUACCGGGUAAUAUAUUGAACCGCAUGAUUCAAUAGUGAAAGACGGUUUUGCUGUCACUUAUAGAUGGAUCCGCGCCGCAUUAGCUAGUUGGUAAGGUAACGGGUUACCAAGGCAACGAUGCGUAGCCGACCUGAGAGGGUGAUCGGCCACCCUGGAACUGAGACACGGUCCAGACUCCUACGGGAGGCAGCAGUAGGGAAUCUUCCGCAAUGGUCGAAAGCCUGACGGAGCAACGCCGCGUGAGUGAUGAAGGUCUUCGGAUCGUAAAACUCUGUUAUUAGGGAAGAACAAAUGUGUAAGUAACUAUGCACGUCUUGACGGUACCUAAUCAGAAAGCCACGGCUAACUACGCG